RNAcentral lists this ribosomal RNA (1319 nucleotides) under Brinjal little leaf phytoplasma. RNAcentral describes it as "bacterial SSU rRNA". It matches the Rfam family "Bacterial small subunit ribosomal RNA", at positions 179 to 1490 of the family's 1533-position model. Lineage: Bacteria; Bacillati; Mycoplasmatota; Mollicutes; Acholeplasmatales; Acholeplasmataceae. The record is from RNAcentral.
AACAAAAAGGCAUCUUUUUGUUUUUAAAAGACCUUCUUACGAAGGUAUGCUUAAAGAGGGGCUUGCGCCACAUUAGUUAGUUGGUAGAGUAAAAGCCUACCAAGACGAUGAUGUGUAGCUGGACUGAGAGGUUGAACAGCCACAUUGGGACUGAGACACGGCCCAAACUCCUACGGGAGGCAGCAGUAGGGAAUUUUCGGCAAUGGAGGAAACUCUGACCGAGCAACGCCGCGUGAACGAUGAAGUAUUUCGGUAUGUAAAGUUCUUUUAUUGAAGAAGAAAAAGUAGUGGAAAAACUAUAUUGACGUUAUUCAAUGAAUAAGCCCCGGCUAACUAUGUGCCAGCAGCCGCGGUAAGACAUAGGGGGCGAGCGUUAUCCGGAAUUAUUGGGCGUAAAGGGUGCGUAGGCUGUUAGAUAAGUCUAUAAUUUAAUUUCAGUGCUUAACGCUGUCUUGUUAUAGAAACUGUCUUGACUAGAGUGAGAUAGAGGCAAGCGGAAUUCCAUGUGUAGCGGUAAAAUGUGUAAAUAUAUGGAGGAACACCAGAAGCGUAGGCGGCUUGCUGGGUCUUUACUGACGCUGAGGCACGAAAGCGUGGGUAGCAAACAGGAUUAGAUACCCUGGUAGUCCACGCCGUAAACGAUGAGUACUAAGUGUCGGGGUAAAACUCGGUACUGAAGUUAACACAUUAAGUACUCCGCCUGAGUAGUACGUACGCAAGUAUGAAACUUAAAGGAAUUGACGGGACUCCGCACAAGCGGUGGAUCAUGUUGUUUAAUUCGAAGAUACACGAAAAAUCUUACCAGGUCUUGACAUACUCUGCAAAGCUAUAGAAAUAUAGUGGAGGUUAUCAGGGAUACAGGUGGUGCAUGGUUGUCGUCAGUUCGUGUCGUGAGAUGUUAGGUUAAGUCCUAAAACGAACGCAACCCUUGUCGUUAAUUGCCAGCACAUAAUGGUGGGGACUUUAACGAGACUGCCAAUUAAACAUUGGAGGAAGGUGAGGAUUACGUCAAAUCAUCAUGCCCCUUAUGAUCUGGGCUACAAACGUGAUACAAUGGCUGUGACAAAGAGUAGCUGAAACGCGAGUUUUUAGCCAAUCUCAAAAAAGCAGUCUCAGUUCGGAUUGAAGUCUGUAACUCGACUUCAUGAAGUUGGAAUCGCUAGUAAUCGCGAAUCAGCAUGUCGCGGUGAAUACGUUCUCGGGGUUUGUACACACCGCCCGUCAAACCACGAAAGUUAGCAAUGCCCGAAAGCAGUAGCUUAACUUCGCAAGAAGAGGGAACUGUCUAAGGUAGGGUUGAUGAUUGGGGUUAAGUCGUA